RNAcentral lists this ribosomal RNA (636 nucleotides) under Triticum aestivum (bread wheat). RNAcentral describes it as "partial small subunit ribosomal RNA". The record is from RNAcentral. Lineage: Eukaryota; Viridiplantae; Streptophyta; Magnoliopsida; Poales; Poaceae.
AUGUGGACCGAUGAUCUGAAAGUUUCUGUUCAUUCUGGUGCCUUCCACUAUAUAUUAGCUAAAGUAGUUCAUCUAGCUUCGGGGGUCAACUUUUGUUUGAUCUGUAUAUAUGGUGACCCUUAUCAUAGCCAGACUAGUGCCAUUUGGGAUCAAGUCUCAUCUUUUGUGUAUGAUAAUCUUGGUAUGCCCAUGAUGUGUAUGGGGGAUCUAAAUGACAUCUUGUAUGAAGUGGAUGGUUGUAAUGGUCAUGUUAAUUACUAUCGUAUGAAUGCUUUUCGUUCUCUGGUCAAAAAUUGUGGUUUAUUUGAUAUAGGUUUUAGUGGACCUGCUUAUACUUGGCGUGGUAGACAAAAUACUUCCAAACCUAUUUAUAGACGCCUUGGUCGUUGCUUGGUUAAUUCUGAUUGGUGCACGCUUUAUCCUAAUACUAAAGUUCUUAAUCUGCCUAUAAUCCUUAGUGAUCAUGCUCCUAUUUUAGUGACUACUGAUAGUCACUUUGUCAAGCCCAGACAAACUUUCAAAUUUGAAAACUGGUGGUUGAUGGAGAAAGACUUCCAUAACUUUGCUAAAUCUACUUGGGCCAAAAGCUCUCUCUCUUGUUUUGCAGCAAAGUCUUCUUCUUUGGCUGGGUCUUAA